GGGCCUUUGCAGGAUACUUCAAAUCUA
This 27-nucleotide non-coding RNA is filed under the name Mus musculus (house mouse). Lineage: Eukaryota; Metazoa; Chordata; Mammalia; Rodentia; Muridae. The record is from RNAcentral.